This 1116-nucleotide long non-coding RNA is filed under the name Gossypium raimondii (Peruvian cotton). RNAcentral's name for it is "long non-coding RNA (GRAI_LNC007930)". Lineage: Eukaryota; Viridiplantae; Streptophyta; Magnoliopsida; Malvales; Malvaceae. The record is from RNAcentral.
UAGAAUCUAGAAACCCUAAAACUGAAAGCAAAGCAGAUACUUAUUAUAAUUGUUGUUGUUAUUGUUGUUGUUGAGUUUUGCCAUCACUUUUAGAUCAUGUUCUAUUUGUUGAUGUUUAUGCUUGCAAGUUUUGAUACCUUCUAAUUUAUAUCAUUGUAGGUUAUGGAACUAAGUACCUAUCGUCGAUUGAGCAGUUUCCCUGCGCACUUCCCCACACACCCGAAAUCAGUGUUCAUGUGAUCCCAUUGGAUUCAGUCCCACCGGGUAAGGCUGAAGUAUCAAUCGACCGCCUAAAUUAUUCUAGAUUUAUUCAAGAAAUAAAGUAGAGAUUUUAAUAACUAUAUUAGUUAUUAAUGGAAAGCUUUAAAUCUCUAACAACUCUAAACCCUCCAACUUCUUUGUUGCUUUGUUGCUUACUGUCUCUCUAAAUUCCUAACAGCCGAUCCACUUUUCUCCAUCGACUCGUUAUCCCAAACUCUCAGCUGUAGCAGGUUAGUAUUUCUAGGAAAUGUUUUUAUUUAUUUAUUUAGCUAAGUGAUUUGAAAAUUGUGGGAAGUUCCUGUUGAUUGAUCAAUAAUGCAGUUCAAUGCUAAGGGAUUCUAAUAACAAGUUGCAUUUGUAUGUUUAACGCGUACAGUUUUGAUAAUUUUUGCUAUUGCGUCUUUACUUUUUGUUUAAUUUUAUCGGGUAUGCAAUUGGAGUAUCGAAAUUUGGGUUAGCAAGUAAAUCGGGCUAAAUUGGAGCACAAACAAUAGAAAUUGGCUGAAUUGAAAUUUUUGAGAAAUUUAUGAUUGAUCAGAUUUUCUAUUUGACUUUGUAAAAGCUAGAUUUAGAAAAAAAAUUGAUAUAAAAUCUGAUUUGAUGUGGUUGGUUGUUAGAUGAAUUAGAUUAAUUUUAGCAUAUCAGAUGUGUAUACCUUGUAUGGUUGCCUUUGGAAAACACACUGGAAGUUGAAUGUAACAAUUUAUUUCUUUCUUUUCUUUCACGCGGCAGUGCUAAUUCAAACAUUCUGCUAUUCUUUUUCCAUUUUAUUAAUUUAGAUUUAAUUGUUUAUCAAGUCCUUUAUCCGUUCUUCCAUUCAUCAUUACCAUUAAAUUCCUUUUAUAAACCAACAAG